Molecule: long non-coding RNA, 356 nt
Organism: Lonchura striata (white-rumped munia)
Lineage: Eukaryota; Metazoa; Chordata; Aves; Passeriformes; Estrildidae
Source: RefSeq, a predicted model, not a curated record
UCCCAGCUUCCCCUUGGCACUGUGGAUAAUGUUUGGAGCUUAUUGGUUUCCACCACCAAGAACUGCAGGAACAAACAUCUGCUAUCUGCCUCCCCUCUCCUUCCUCACUACUACUUAUUUCUAGGAGCAGGCAAAACAUGUCUGUCUUCUCCUGAGGCUGAGCAACAGUUCUUGAGACAUUGUAGCUUAUUAUAAACAGAAACCUUAAUUGUUCAGUAUGCCACCUGUUUGACAGAAGGAAAUGAGGAACAAUUACUGGCUGUGGAUUUCACAUGGAGCUGGAAAAGACAAUGAAAAAUUAAGCAAGUUAUGUUUUAUACAGGAAAAUGAAAAUAAACCAUUUAUGAGCACCAGAA